Molecule: non-coding RNA, 97 nt
Organism: Taeniopygia guttata (zebra finch)
Lineage: Eukaryota; Metazoa; Chordata; Aves; Passeriformes; Estrildidae
Source: Rfam
UCAUGAGUUCAUGCUUCGACACCAUGGAUCUCCAGGUGGGUCAAGAUUAUAGAGAUACACCAACCUGGAGGACUCCAUGCUGUCGAGCUGUUCAUAA